RNAcentral lists this long non-coding RNA (608 nucleotides) under Androctonus crassicauda. The record is from RNAcentral. Lineage: Eukaryota; Metazoa; Arthropoda; Arachnida; Scorpiones; Buthidae.
AGAAACUUAAGAUCAUGUGAUGAUCACAUGUCUAUCCUAUGUGCAGUGGUGGAUCAGCUGCGCCAAUUGCGCCACACUGCGCCAAAACGGAGUGUCUGCGCAUUUUUGCGCCAAUUUCGUAAUUUUUCGAAUAAAUUGCGCCCGUCUGCGCCAAAAAGUAAAUGUUGGCACUUCUGUCAAUAAUUCCUUUAGUGAAAGGAAAAAAUUUCAUUCCGAUAUCGCAAAGAAAAGUUAGCAGGAAAAAUACAUGCAUUUCAAUUUGUAAGAUUUACGAAACUAACGGAACCCUGCCCUCGAAUCGUACGGUAAUCUCAACAAGGCGCCUGGUUUAACUGAUAGUGUGAGAGUAGUGUCCCCGGUCUGGACUUAUUACAUGUUCUUGUUCUAGAACAAGCAAAUGGAAAGUAAAGGUAAGAAUUUUUCUUCUUUUGUAUAUUUAACGUAUUUUUCCUAAGUCUUAAUUAUUGUUUUCACUGCUGUCAUUGUACCCUGGUUGUACGAUCCAAUCGUUAUCAAGCGAUUUCAAACGCUGCAUACAAAGAAAUGUCAGCUAUCAAGAAUAGGCCUAAAUUCUUUGUACUAUUAUAGCAAAAUAUAAUUUUAUAAAA